ACUCGGAGUGCUGCCAUCUCAGCGUCAAGUGGCAAGUUGUCGACUGUCAGCGCGCAGGAGAUGACAUCUGGUCUCCAGAAGAAUAUAUGCUGCUCCUUGAUGGGCACGUUGUGGCAACUGCACCAGAGUUCGACGUCGCCCUCCGCAUGCUGUUUGCCAGCUACUUUUCAUUCCACAUUUGCUACGCCCAAGAAGUCUCAUCUACGCUUGAGUUCAUCCAGAGGGCACUUUUCGGCAUCAAUCCUGACCGUGGCAGCAAGGGCAAAAAUGGGAGAACGCAAGUGAACAAACGAGUGCUCAACCUGUUUCAACGAAUAACGGAGUCUCAGUGGAACAUAUAGGUAAGUCUAUUGUGCUCUGUGACCAGUUCGCGGUUACGGCAGAGCAGUAACAAUAAAAUACAGCACACA
RNAcentral lists this unclassified non-coding RNA (410 nucleotides) under Ixodes scapularis (black-legged tick). Its description in RNAcentral is "uncharacterized LOC121048194, transcript variant X2". Lineage: Eukaryota; Metazoa; Arthropoda; Arachnida; Ixodida; Ixodidae. The record is from RNAcentral.